UUCAAUGCAUUUGUGCUGUGUCAGGUGAUUCUCUUGCUCUUAUAAAUUAGCUUAGUUAAAAUGACAAUUUAAGGUUUCUUUUGUUGACUGUCAGUUCUCACACUAAGAUACAGAUUGUUUUAGAGCUUCUGCUUUCUCUCUCUCUCUGCAAUGAAUUAUGUAAAUUUGUUACUUUUGGGUUAUUGGGUGCAAGGGUGAGCAUUUAGUCAACUGAACCAAAUUCCAACUAUUCCAACCAACUGAAUUUUAUGGCACUUUUAAAAUACUAACUAGGCCGAACUGAAAAUUUGAUGGAAAUUUGAUUAUAGCUGGA
This 313-nucleotide unclassified non-coding RNA is filed under the name Hevea brasiliensis (rubber tree). The record is from RNAcentral. Lineage: Eukaryota; Viridiplantae; Streptophyta; Magnoliopsida; Malpighiales; Euphorbiaceae.